CACAAGUGGAAUGAGACACACUUCGCCUUUGUAACUGUGUUGCCAGGAAGCAGAAUGAAAACCAAACUAUAUACACUGCCUGGAUUCUUGGUCCAUUUACCACUUUAAGAAAGCCCAUGAAAAUCCUCCUCCCAGGAGGGGUCCAGGAACAGUAGCUGAUGAAGGCAAUGGAUAUUGCCCUCACUGGUAAGCAGAAAGUCACAUGCCAAAUUUUACUGGGAUGACUUUAUGAUAAAUUUGACUAUUUUGGGGAAAUGUCAUAUGCUAUGACUAAGAGACGUGGAAACUCUCCUUCUGGAAGACAGUGGACACUAUGACAAAUCAUUCAAGAGUGACAUCCCAAUAGAUAAAGAUGUGGAACCCCUGAAAUGAAUAAUAUGAGAAAAUAUG
This 390-nucleotide long non-coding RNA is filed under the name Athene cunicularia (burrowing owl). RNAcentral's name for it is "lncRNA (ENSACUG00000000975.1)". The record is from RNAcentral. Lineage: Eukaryota; Metazoa; Chordata; Aves; Strigiformes; Strigidae.